GUCCUCCCUCACUGCAUCCAUAUAUCUCCUCUUUGGCCGUCGUCUUUGUCUCCUACCAGUAGCCCAAUUUCCAUCAGUGCCCUGUAGGUCAACGGCCCAACUCGGGCCUUGACCGAGGAGGACAAGGCUAAGGAACAGUCUGACAUCAGAGGAGCUUUAUAGACCUGCGGCUACCCCAACUGGGCCUUCUCCAAAGCCACCAAAACCAACCAGAAGAACAGAGAGGAGAACGACCCAUCAACACCCUUCGACAAAGACCGAUUAAUCUAAAGGACAACAUACCACGUUGACAAACAGCACAGUGCAGUGAGGACUACCCUGACCUCUACAUUGGGGAAACCAAACAACCACUGUACAAGUGUGUGCAACAACACAGAAGAGGCAGCUCCUCCGGGCAGGAUCUUCCCUUGGUCACCGUCUCUGCAAAGGAGGAGGAUCAUUAAUACGAUUCAUUAAAUUUCAUCAACAUCAUUUUUAAAGACAUUAACCCCCAAAGAGCCAUGCUCUAGUUUGACUAAAAUGUGCAAAGAUGAAUGUCAGCAUUUUUUUUUCCUUUCUUUUUUUUUUUUUUUUUGUCUGAUAAGACGUCUUCACUAUCAGGCUUUUCUUUAAAAUUAAACAUAGUAAUAAAAUUCUGCACUGCUGUGCAAAGGGAAUGUAACUCACUAUCACUUCUUGGAAACUUAAAACGCAGUACAGGAUGUUAAAAUGCUGUAAUAUUUUAGUAUCGAUUGCAGGAAGCCCUAUGGGGGAGAAAUUGCUUAAUGUAACAUUAAUCUGUGCUUCAAAAAUCUAGGUCUGUAAGUAAUGAAGUUAAAAAAAAACUAGCUUGAGCUUUAUUUAUUAAACAUCGCUAUGCAUUCCUCCCUCAAAGUAUUUGUAUGUGCUGUUAUUUAAAUAGGAUAAUCCUAAACCCUCAGUCGUUCCAAAUAGGUUUGGGUCAGUGCCACAUCAAUAUGCUUUACUGUGUCUGCAGGCAAACUGUUGGGGGGAGAAUGCUAGCUGCUAUUUCGGAAUUUAAAGCUUCUCGUCCUAUGGGACUGUUUUGCAUCACUGACAGGAUUAGAACAGAGAAACCCAUUGCAAUGCAAAAAGAAUGAAAAGUCACAUUUGUUGACUUUUGCUGUAUUCGGCUUAUCUGUUAGUAACAAUGUCUCAGACAUUGACGAUACAAGGCAUUGCAUAAAAUGAACACGAAUAAAUGUGUUCCUUGGCACUGACUAAAUUCUGAAAUCUACAAACGUCAAACCCAGUAACCAAGGUAAACUUAAAGUUUAAAUUUUUAAAAUUUCCAAAAACUAUAACAGUGGUCCCUCUCCUAUCACGGUAGUUGCAUUCCCAGACUUACUGAGACAAUGGGAAAAAAAUCACAAAGUAAAGGUGAGAUAGUAUAUAUAUUUACCCU
Long non-coding RNA from Cynoglossus semilaevis (tongue sole), 1405 nucleotides. RefSeq lists it as uncharacterized. NCBI's taxonomy places the organism in Eukaryota, Metazoa, Chordata, Actinopteri, Pleuronectiformes, Cynoglossidae. The record is from RefSeq and is a predicted model, not a curated record. The transcript is spliced from 3 exons.